UUUAAUGCUCCAUCAUCUUCUUCACAAAGGAAAGGAAAAGAGAAACCCUAACUUUGCAACCCGCCAUCGCCACUCCGCCGACGUCAGUCCGAACCGAUCGGCUACAUCAGGUGCGUCGUCUUCACCGUUCGAAGUCGCAUCGCUCCACUAUAGUCGAACCAUUCACGAUCGCCAGCCGUCACGUGAAGCUUCGUCGUGUCGUACCGCCGAGCAGCAGCCAUCGUCGAUCGUCAGCCGCACGUCUUCAGCCGUUCACAAUCGUCGAGCCAUCUUCGUUGAGCCAUCCGAGUCGUCGUUGGGUGUCAGCUGCAAGCAACUUGAGCCGAUUCGCCCUCAACCCAACCUGUGUGAGUCCGUUCGUGCCAGCUGCCAGCAUGGAUUCGAGCCGCACGUGGCCCCAGCCGAGCGGCGCCUCCCCUCUGCGAGCCACGCCUGCCUCCCAACCGAGCCGCCAAGCUUUUUGUGAGCCACAAGCUUGUUUUUUUUGGGUCAUUUCCACAUGUUUUUGGACCAGUUGAAUCAAUUGAAGUUUGGGCUGUGGAACUCUUUCUAGUUAAAGGAAAUUGUUGCAACCUUGAUAUUGGGACUUCGUUGGUUGGAAAGCGUGUUUUGCUGUUAAUUUCGACCGAACUAAUCUCCAGAGGCAGAGAAAAAGGUAAGAGCAAAGGCAAGCUGGCGAAUGACCAAAAGUGACCGUGGCGAGCCAUAGGGACACGUUUGCAUCUGCUUGUGUCAUGUGUCAGAUUUCAGUGUUAUAUUUCCUUUCAUUCCAUUUAUGUUUUACUUAUUUCCUUGUUUUUCCUUUAAAACUACUAGGGCCCGAGAUAGGAUUUUGUUUUAAUUUAUUCCCAUACGCUCUAUUUAUGAAUUUAUUAAUAAUUUGCAGUUUUGUUUUAUUUUCUAUUUAAUUUAAAUAAACUUUAUUUCUUUUCUUUUAAAGUAAAGUCCUCUACUUAGUGUGAGAGAUUGGGUCUUUACAUAAACACUCAGGAUGUACUUUUGAGAACUAAUGUGUGACGAUACAACAUUAUGAACAUAAGAGAUGGAUCGGCUAUUCAAGGAUGCUUGAGGCUAGGAUUGCAAGUCGUUAUUGAUCAAGGGGGAGUAAUCCUAUUAAUGUUAUGAUUAUUGUUUUUGUGCAAUAUAGUUCUAAUUGUUGAGUCAGCCCAUGGUUAGUACGUUGGUUCAUGUUUAGAGUGUUGUACCCUGGUUUAUAACAUUGUAAUGAUC
Long non-coding RNA from Cucumis melo (muskmelon), 1230 nucleotides. RefSeq lists it as uncharacterized. Lineage: Eukaryota; Viridiplantae; Streptophyta; Magnoliopsida; Cucurbitales; Cucurbitaceae. The record is from RefSeq and is a predicted model, not a curated record. The transcript is spliced from 4 exons.